GACGAACGCUGGCGGCGUGCUUAACACAUGCAAGUCGAACGGAAAGGCCCCGUUUUUGGUGCUCGAGCGGCGAACGGAUGAGUAACACGCACGUAACUAACCCUUCACUUCCGUAGAACUUCAUGAAACUGGGGCUAAUUCCUGCCAGGAAUCCUUUCUUCCUGCUGGGGGUUGGAUAGCUUCGGCGGUUUUGGGUGGACUCGCGGCCUAUCAGCUUGUUUGUUGGGUAGUUGCUUACCAAGGCUUUGUCGGGUAGGCGGCCGGGGGGGGCGACCGGCCACAUUGGGGCUGAGAUAAGGCCCCGACUCCUAAGGGAGGGAGGAGUGGGGAAUAUUGCACAAUGGGCGGAAGGCUGAUGCAGCAACGCCGCGUGCGGGAAGACGGGCUUCGGGUUGUAAAACGAUUUCAGCAGGGGCGAAGCUUGUGGUGACGGUACCUGCAGAAGAAGCACCGGCUAACUACGUG
RNAcentral lists this ribosomal RNA (465 nucleotides) under uncultured bacterium. RNAcentral describes it as "partial 16S ribosomal RNA". It matches the Rfam family "Bacterial small subunit ribosomal RNA", at positions 28 to 507 of the family's 1533-position model. The record is from RNAcentral.